RNAcentral lists this ribosomal RNA (253 nucleotides) under uncultured bacterium. RNAcentral describes it as "partial 16S ribosomal RNA". It matches the Rfam family "Bacterial small subunit ribosomal RNA", at positions 524 to 776 of the family's 1533-position model. The record is from RNAcentral.
UACGGAGGGGGCUAGCGUUGUUCGGAAUUACUGGGCGUAAAGCGCACGUAGGCGGCGAUUUAAGUCAGAGGUGAAAGCCCGGGGCUCAACCCCGGAACUGCCUUUGAGACUGGAUUGCUUGAAUCCGGGAGAGGUGAGUGGAAUUCCAGGUGUAGCGGUGAAAUGCGUAGAUAUCUGGAGGAACACCGGUGGCGAAGGCGGCAUCCUGGACCAACACUGACGCUGAGGAGCGAAAGCCAGGGGAGCAAACGGG